CGUGUAGGCGGUGCGGUAAGUUGGGCGUGAAAUCCCCGAGCUUAACUCGGGUGGGCCGUUCAAGACUGCCGUGCUAGGGUGCGGGAGAGGGAAGUGGAAUUUCCGGUGUAGCGGUGAAAUGCGUAGAUAUCGGGAGGAACACCUGCGGCGAAGGCGGCUUCCUGGACCGUAACCGACGCUGAGGCGCGAAAGCUAGGGGAGCAAACAGGAUUAGAUACCCUGGUAGUCCUAGCCCUAAACGAUGAGCACUGGGUGUGGCCUCUCACGGGGCCGUGCCGAAGCUAACGCAUUAAGUGCUCCGCCUGGGGAGUACGGUCGCAAGGCUGAA
Molecule: ribosomal RNA, 328 nt
Filed under: uncultured bacterium
Lineage: Bacteria
Description: bacterial SSU rRNA
Rfam family: Bacterial small subunit ribosomal RNA
Source: RNAcentral